CAGCCGCCGCGGUAAUACGUAGGGUGCGAGCGUUAAUCGGAAUUACUGUGCGUAAAGCGUGCGCAGGCGGUUGUGUAAGACAGGUGUGAAAUCCCCGGGCUUAACCUGGGAACUGCGCUUGUGACUGCACAGCUAGAGUAUGGCAGAGGGGGGUGGAAUUCCACGUGUAGCAGUGAAAUGCGUAGAGAUGUGGAGGAACACCGAUGGCGAAGGCAGCCCCCUGGGCCAAUACUGACGCUCAUGCACGAAAGCGUGGGGAGCAAACAGGAUUAGAUACCCCCGUGUCCCUGUCUCUUAUACC
RNAcentral lists this ribosomal RNA (301 nucleotides) under uncultured bacterium. Its description in RNAcentral is "partial 16S ribosomal RNA". It matches the Rfam family "Bacterial small subunit ribosomal RNA", at positions 509 to 808 of the family's 1533-position model. The record is from RNAcentral.